Molecule: unclassified non-coding RNA, 200 nt
Filed under: Geomyces sp.
Lineage: Eukaryota; Fungi; Ascomycota; Leotiomycetes; Thelebolales; Pseudeurotiaceae
Description: partial internal transcribed spacer 2
Source: RNAcentral
UUAAGUUCAGCGGGUAUCCCUACCUGAUCCGAGGUCAACCUGAAAAAAAUUGGGGGUUGCUGGCGGGCACGCGCCUGGGCCUCCUGAGCGAGAAGAUUUACUACGCUCGGAGCCAGACGGCACCGCCACUGACUUUAGGGCCCGCCGGGUCGGCGGGGCCCAACACCAAGCAGAGCUUGAGGGUUGUAAUGACGCUCGGA